CAAGAAAGGGACGGUAAUUAGACAAGAAAAAAGAUCCCAAAACCUAGCCCUCAAUUUCUUUUCAUCACCAGCCGCCACACCCCUCCCCGCUUCCCAAUUUCUUCCGUCAACCACUGAAUGAGAAGAAAAAUAGGUAAUAUUUUUGUUAAACUUAUGUUCAAGUGGAGAUUAGGUUUCAAGAUCAAUGAUAUUGUGGAAUGCAUUGCUGAAAUUUGAGUUGGACGGAGAGAGUUAUCAUAAAUUUUGUGCAGGUAGAUUGGUGGAAUUAUCAGAGUAGCAAUCAAGCUAAAAUGUAUAUUGAUCAAGCUGAGAUGCAGUCAGGGAUCGUGGAAGGAGAAGAUUGUACUGUUUUGGAUCUCAGGAAAGAUAGUGCUAGCGUUAUAGAAAAUUUAUGUACAAUGGUGUUCUGAUGCUAUUAGUACUGGUACUACAUAUUUGUUCGUUCUACAAAAGUAAUACUCCAUCCGUUUCAAUUUAUGUGAUACUAUUUGAAUUUCGAUAGUUAAUUUUCAUUAUUUUAA
Molecule: long non-coding RNA, 521 nt
Organism: Lycium barbarum (goji berry)
Lineage: Eukaryota; Viridiplantae; Streptophyta; Magnoliopsida; Solanales; Solanaceae
Exons: 3
Source: RefSeq, a predicted model, not a curated record